Molecule: ribosomal RNA, 622 nt
Filed under: uncultured marine bacterium
Lineage: Bacteria
Description: bacterial SSU rRNA
Rfam family: Bacterial small subunit ribosomal RNA
Source: RNAcentral
AGUACGGCCGCAAGGCUAAAACUCAAAUGAAUUGACGGGGGCCCGCACAAGCGGUGGAGCAUGUGGUUUAAUUCGAUGCAACGCGAAGAACCUUACCUGGUCUUGACAUCCACGGAAGUUUUCAGAGAUGAGAAUGUGCCUUCGGGAACCGUGAGACAGGUGCUGCAUGGCUGUCGUCAGCUCGUGUUGUGAAAUGUUGGGUUAAGUCCCGCAACGAGCGCAACCCUUAUCCUUUGUUGCCAGCGGUCCGGCCGGGAACUCAAAGGAGACUGCCAGUGAUAAACUGGAGGAAGGUGGGGAUGACGUCAAGUCAUCAUGGCCCUUACGACCAGGGCUACACACGUGCUACAAUGGCGCAUACAAAGAGAAGCGACCUCGCGAGAGCAAGCGGACCUCAUAAAGUGCGUCGUAGUCCGGAUUGGAGUCUGCAACUCGACUCCAUGAAGUCGGAAUCGCUAGUAAUCGUGGAUCAGAAUGCCACGGUGAAUACGUUCCCGGGCCUUGUACACGCCGCCCGUCACACCAUGGGAGUGGGUUGCAAAAGAAGUAGGUAGCUUAACCUUCGGGAGGGCGCUUACCACUUUGUGAUUCAUGACUGGGGUGAAGUCGUAACAAGGUAACC